AGUGAACGCUGGCGGUAGGCCUAACACAUGCAAGUCGAACGGCAGCACAGAGGAGCUUGCUCCUUGGGUGGCGAGUGGCGGACGGGUGAGGAAUACAUCGGAAUCUACUCUGUCGUGGGGGAUAACGUAGGGAAACUUACGCUAAUACCGCAUACGACCUACAGGUGAAAGCAGGGGAUCUUCGGACCUUGCGCGAUUGAAUGAGCCGAUGUCGGAUUAGCUAGUUGGCGGGGUAAAGGCCCACCAAGGCGACGAUCCGUAGCUGGUCUGAGAGGAUGAUCAGCCACACUGGAACUGAGACACGGUCCAGACUCCUACGGGAGGCAGCAGUGGGGAAUAUUGGACAAUGGGCGCAAGCCUGAUCCAGCCAUACCGCGUGGGUGAAGAAGGCCUUCGGGUUGUAAAGCCCUUUUGUUGGGAAAGAAAUCCAUCUGGUUAAUACCCGGUUGGGAUGACGGUACCCAAAGAAUAAGCACCGGCUAACUUCGUGCCAGCCGCCGCGGUAA
Molecule: ribosomal RNA, 506 nt
Filed under: uncultured bacterium
Lineage: Bacteria
Description: partial 16S ribosomal RNA
Rfam family: Bacterial small subunit ribosomal RNA
Source: RNAcentral